UGUCUGUGCCUGAACACAUCAUUUUAAAUCCCAAGAUGAUUCUUCUCAAUUGUCACAGCUUUAAAAUAUUGCAGAGAUUAUCCUGUCAUAUUUUUCAUAUUCACUAAGAGGUCCAAAGAGACCAUAUGUGGUAAUGGUAUAUAUAAAGUCCUAUGCUCUUUUUUCAAAUAAUAACUUAUCAGAAUUUAGUUUGAUAUUUAUUUCUUUCUAUACAGAAAUAUAAAUAUCAUAUUUUAACAACUUGAAUUCAAAAUACGCAUUUUGAGUAAUCAUUAAUUAUUUUUUCUAAAAAUCAUAAACAGAUGAAGUUCUUUCAGUACCUUGCGAGUGCUCUUUACGUGUUUCACUACUAAACCUCCAUUAACCGUAAACUGAGAUAAAAUGGCUAGAUACUGAAGUCAAAUGAUUCGUUUGAACAAAGAUGUAGCGACAAGUGGGAGCAUUGUCAGCUAUCUGUUCCGUCAAAGAGACUUGUUUCAAUGUUGUCUGUCAGGCUGAUUGUAUGAUGGAACAGAUAAGUAGGCGAUUCAGGUCAUCGAACCGUUUGAGAAACGGCGAUCAUUUCGAAACGAUAGCCAAAAUUUAUAUAUGUAUGUAUAUAUAGCGUUUGGUUAUAUUUAUUAUUAUUGUUUGUUUUGCACGUCAACUCAGAUAACUGAAAGAAGAGGGUUUAGCCAUAGUCAAAUCCCAUUCCAUUGUUCCCUCUUCCAAGGCGAGGGUGAACGUCCUUUUCGCUUGAACCUGUCUGGCGACCGUAUCGCUGAGGAUGUCGGGAAGAAAAGGGUAGCGAGGAUUUUUUUCCCCUUUCUCUAUUGCAAAGUCACGUGACAGGUCGUCUAGAAGUUCGCGUGACCUAAUUGGAAAAGGGAGCGAGCGAUAAGGAGACGACUAGUCUGCUUCAACUGUUGUUUCAAAGAACGUCUUUUUAAGAUAAGAGUUGGUUUUAAUGCGUUAGAAAAUUCAGAAGAAAAAAAAAUUACAUCUAGUAAAUUAAUUAUGAUUAAGUUUGCUUUUAAAUAUACUUAAACUGUAUUUUUACUUUUAGUUAUUUUGUAAACGUAGUCCAUGUUAGACCUGCUCUAGACCAAUUUUUUAUUUUUUUUUAAAUUUUUUCUAUAUAACUUAUUUAAGAAAAACGCACUUAUGCGGGCUACUGAACUUAGAAAUGGUAAUUAAGUAACAAUAUACCAAGUUAUUUACCUGUAAUAAAUAACUUUGCAUAUGAAUUAAGUAAAAGAAAAAUAAAUUGCAUUAUCAUGUACAGAAAUUCUUUAAAAAGUGAAAAUAAAAAAAUUACCCUGAUAAAUUACCUUAAAAUAAUUUUAUUUUUGUAC
This 1334-nucleotide long non-coding RNA is filed under the name Androctonus crassicauda. The record is from RNAcentral. Lineage: Eukaryota; Metazoa; Arthropoda; Arachnida; Scorpiones; Buthidae.